This 3126-nucleotide ribosomal RNA is filed under the name Salmonella enterica subsp. enterica serovar Heidelberg. RNAcentral's name for it is "23S ribosomal RNA". It matches the Rfam family "Bacterial large subunit ribosomal RNA". The record is from RNAcentral. Lineage: Bacteria; Pseudomonadati; Pseudomonadota; Gammaproteobacteria; Enterobacterales; Enterobacteriaceae. RNAcentral also lists the same sequence under 1 other name.
GGUUAAGCGACUAAGCGUACACGGUGGAUGCCCUGGCAGUCAGAGGCGAUGAAGGACGUGCUAAUCUGCGAUAAGCGCCGGUAAGGUGAUAUGAACCGUUAUAACCGGCGAUUUCCGAAUGGGGAAACCCAGUGUGAUUCGUCACACUAUCAUUAACUGAAUCCAUAGGUUAAUGAGGCGAACCGGGGGAACUGAAACAUCUAAGUACCCCGAGGAAAAGAAAUCAACCGAGAUUCCCCCAGUAGCGGCGAGCGAACGGGGAGGAGCCCAGAGCCUGAAUCAGCAUGUGUGUUAGUGGAAGCGUCUGGAAAGGCGCGCGAUACAGGGUGACAGCCCCGUACACAAAAGCGCAUGUGCUGUGAGCUCGAUGAGUAGGGCGGGACACGUGGUAUCCUGUCUGAAUAUGGGGGGACCAUCCUCCAAGGCUAAAUACUCCUGACUGACCGAUAGUGAACCAGUACCGUGAGGGAAAGGCGAAAAGAACCCCGGCGAGGGGAGUGAAAAAGAACCUGAAACCGUGUACGUACAAGCAGUGGGAGCCCCACCACCAAAGCAUUUGCUGUACCAUGUUGACGGAGCGAAGCGACGUCAAACCGAUAAAACAGCAGUGUAAAGUGAGCCGCAGGGCGCUUUGCGCGACAGCGCAAAGGCAGGCGGUUUCGCGUAGCGAAAGCGAAUGCUUUGGGGUGGGGUGACUGCGUACCUUUUGUAUAAUGGGUCAGCGACUUAUAUUCUGUAGCAAGGUUAACCGAAUAGGGGAGCCGGAGGGAAACCGAGUCUUAACCGGGCGUUAAGUUGCAGGGUAUAGACCCGAAACCCGGUGAUCUAGCCAUGGGCAGGUUGAAGGUUGGGUAACACUAACUGGAGGACCGAACCGACUAAUGUUGAAAAAUUAGCGGAUGACCUGUGGCUGGGGGUGAAAGGCCAAUCAAACCGGGAGAUAGCUGGUUCUCCCCGAAAGCUAUUUAGGUAGCGCCUCGUGAAUUCAUCUCCGGGGGUAGAGCACUGUUUCGGCUAGGGGGCCAUCCCGGCUUACCAACCCGAUGCAAACUGCGAAUACCGGAGAAUGUUAUCACGGGAGACACACGGCGGGUGCUAACGUCCGUCGUGAAGAGGGAAACAACCCAGACCGCCAGCUAAGGUCCCAAAGUCAUGGUUAAGUGGGAAACGAUGUGGGAAGGCCCAGACAGCCAGGAUGUUGGCUUAGAAGCAGCCAUCAUUUAAAGAAAGCGUAAUAGCUCACUGGUCGAGUCGGCCUGCGCGGAAGAUGUAACGGGGCUAAACCAUGCACCGAAGCUGCGGCAGCGAACGUAUCACUUAAAGCGAUUCAGCGGGUUACGAUUGACGGAGCGAAGCGACGUCAAAGCGUAUACAAAGUCGAGUCGGUUUAAGGAUACGUUCGUUGGGUAGGGGAGCGUUCUGUAAGCCUGUGAAGGUGGCCUGUGAGGGUUGCUGGAGGUAUCAGAAGUGCGAAUGCUGACAUAAGUAACGAUAAAGCGGGUGAAAAGCCCGCUCGCCGGAAGACCAAGGGUUCCUGUCCAACGUUAAUCGGGGCAGGGUGAGUCGACCCCUAAGGCGAGGCCGAAAGGCGUAGUCGAUGGGAAACGGGUUAAUAUUCCCGUACUUGGUGUUACUGCGAAGGGGGGACGGAGAAGGCUAUGUUGGCCGGGCGACGGUUGUCCCGGUUUAAGCGUGUAGGUGUGUGUUCCAGGUAAAUCCGGUUCACUUUAACACUGAGGCGUGAUGACGAGGCACUACGGUGCUGAAGCAACAAAUGCCCUGCUUCCAGGAAAAGCCUCUAAGCAUCAGGUAACAUCAAAUCGUACCCCAAACCGACACAGGUGGUCAGGUAGAGAAUACCAAGGCGCUUGAGAGAACUCGGGUGAAGGAACUAGGCAAAAUGGUGCCGUAACUUCGGGAGAAGGCACGCUGACACGUAGGUGAAGUGAUUUACUCACGGAGCUGAAGUCAGUCGAAGAUACCAGCUGGCUGCAACUGUUUAUUAAAAACACAGCACUGUGCAAACACGAAAGUGGACGUAUACGGUGUGACGCCUGCCCGGUGCCGGAAGGUUAAUUGAUGGGGUCAGCGCAAGCGAAGCUCCUGAUCGAAGCCCCGGUAAACGGCGGCCGUAACUAUAACGGUCCUAAGGUAGCGAAAUUCCUUGUCGGGUAAGUUCCGACCUGCACGAAUGGCGUAAUGAUGGCCAGGCUGUCUCCACCCGAGACUCAGUGAAAUUGAACUCGCUGUGAAGAUGCAGUGUACCCGCGGCAAGACGGAAAGACCCCGUGAACCUUUACUAUAGCUUGACACUGAACAUUGAGCCUUGAUGUGUAGGAUAGGUGGGAGGCUUUGAAGCGUGGACGCCAGUCUGCGUGGAGCCAACCUUGAAAUACCACCCUUUAAUGUUUGAUGUUCUAACGUGGACCCGUGAUCCGGGUUGCGGACAGUGUCUGGUGGGUAGUUUGACUGGGGCGGUCUCCUCCUAAAGAGUAACGGAGGAGCACGAAGGUUGGCUAAUCCUGGUCGGACAUCAGGAGGUUAGUGCAAUGGCAUAAGCCAGCUUGACUGCGAGCGUGACGGCGCGAGCAGGUGCGAAAGCAGGUCAUAGUGAUCCGGUGGUUCUGAAUGGAAGGGCCAUCGCUCAACGGAUAAAAGGUACUCCGGGGAUAACAGGCUGAUACCGCCCAAGAGUUCAUAUCGACGGCGGUGUUUGGCACCUCGAUGUCGGCUCAUCACAUCCUGGGGCUGAAGUAGGUCCCAAGGGUAUGGCUGUUCGCCAUUUAAAGUGGUACGCGAGCUGGGUUUAGAACGUCGUGAGACAGUUCGGUCCCUAUCUGCCGUGGGCGCUGGAGAACUGAGGGGGGCUGCUCCUAGUACGAGAGGACCGGAGUGGACGCAUCACUGGUGUUCGGGUUGUCAUGCCAAUGGCACUGCCCGGUAGCUAAAUGCGGAAGAGAUAAGUGCUGAAAGCAUCUAAGCACGAAACUUGCCCCGAGAUGAGUUCUCCCUGAGACUUAGAGUCUCCUGAAGGAACGUUGAAGACGACGACGUUGAUAGGCCGGGUGUGUAAGCGCAGCGAUGCGUUGAGCUAACCGGUACUAAUGAACCGUGAGGCUUAACCUU